RNAcentral lists this unclassified non-coding RNA (331 nucleotides) under soil metagenome. RNAcentral describes it as "partial contains 5.8S ribosomal RNA, internal transcribed spacer 2, and large subunit ribosomal RNA". The stretch from base 1 to 120 matches the Rfam family "5.8S ribosomal RNA", at positions 35 to 154 of the family's 154-position model. The record is from RNAcentral.
GAUGAAGAACGUAGCGAAAUGCGAUAAGUAAUGUGAAUUGCAGAAUUCAGUGAAUCAUCGAAUCUUUGAACGCACAUUGCGCCCCCUGGUAUUCCGGGGGGCAUGCCUGUUCGAGCGUCAUUUCACCACUCAAGCCUCGCUUGGUAUUGGGCAUCGCGGUCCGCCGCGCGCCUCAAAUCGACCGGCUGGGUCUUCUGUCCCCUAAGCGUUGUGGAAACUAUUAGCUAAAGGGUGUUCGGGAGGCUACGCCGUAAAACAACCCCAUUUCUAAGGUUGACCUCGGAUCAGGUAGGGAUACCCGCUGAACUUAAGCAUAUCAAUAAGCGGAGGA